This is a non-coding RNA of Lentinula edodes (shiitake mushroom), 94 nucleotides long. Lineage: Eukaryota; Fungi; Basidiomycota; Agaricomycetes; Agaricales; Omphalotaceae. The record is from Rfam.
GGUGAGAUGGCCGAGUGGUCUAAGGCGCUAGAUUUAGGUCAUGGAUCUAAGACUCUAGUCAUUCGUGGCGUGGGUUCGAAUCCCACUCUCAUCA